AUGGACAGUGUUCCAGCUCUCGCGCUCUGCUGCCUAAUCUUGCUACCAAGCUGGGCCAAUGGCCUCGGCUCCAUGGGAUCCAUCUCGGUGUCCUACGGCGAGGACGGCCCGGUGUUCUGCGGCCUCAGCUCAGACGGCUCCCACUUGGUCACCUGCUCCGGCGCGGACGCCUCUGUCGUCUACGGUGCUCCCCUCAGGAUCCCCUUCCUCGGCCUCACCGCGGGGGAUGGGUUCGCGUGCGGUCUCUUGCUUGAUACCAGUCAGCCUUACUGCUGGGGGAGCAACUCAUAUGUCAAGAUCGGGGUGCCGCAACCGAUGGUCGAGGGCGUGGAGUAUUCCAUGCUCAGUGCCGGGGACAACCACCUGUGUGCACUGCGAACUCCUGACAAGGGGAUUCCUCGCGGUGUUAACCCUGAUACUUCAGUGAUAGAUUGCUGGGGGUACAACAUGACUGCCACACAUGUUGUCGCUGGAGCCGUGUCGACCAUAUCAGCUGGCUCGGUGUUCAAUUGUGCCUUGUUUGCGCGGAACAGGACAGUGUUCUGCUGGGGUGAUGAGACAGUGAGUGGUGUGAUUGGGCUGGCGCCGAGGAAUGUCAAGUUUCAGUCCAUAGGAGCAGGUGGCUACCAUGUCUGUGGGGUGCUGGAGAAUGCACAAGUCUUCUGCUGGGGAAGGAGCUUGGAGAUGCAGCAGGUGUCGCCUACCGGUGCUAUCGGUGAAGGCGAUGUGAGCAUAGUGCCGAUGGAUGCAAUGGUCUCCGUUGUCGGCGGACGAUUUCAUGCUUGUGGCAUCAGGAGCCUUGAUCACCAAGUAGCUUGCUGGGGUUUCCAACUUCAGAACAGUACAUCAGCACCCAAAGGUCUCAGGUUGUAUACAAUAGUGGCUGGAGACUACUUUACUUGUGGUGUGCCUGCUGAGACAUCGAUGAAGCCAAGGUGCUGGGGCAAUAGUGGGCCAUUGGCACUACCAAUGGCGGUAUCGCCCGGGAUUUGUGUAUCUUCUGCAUGCAGCCCCGGAUACUACGAGUAUGUUAACCAUGGUGAGCUUGGUAGCAGCAAGUCUUGCAAGCCUGGAAACUCUAGACUCUGCUUGCCCUGCAGUGCUGGCUGCCCAGACAACUCGUAUGAGUCCUCGCCCUGCAAUGCCACGGCUGACCGUGUGUGCCAGUUUGAUUGCUUGAGGUGUGUCUCAGAUGAGUGUUUGUCAUACUGCACAUCCCGGAAGCAGACCAACAACCAUAAGUCAAUGGAUUUUCAGAUGCGCAUUUUUGUGGCAGAGAUUGCAUUUGCUGUCAUUUUGAUUUUCACCGUGACAGCCAUUUCUUGCCUAUAUGUACGGCACAAGCUUCGAGAUUGCCGAUGUUCAAAGAGCAAGUUGAGGAUGACGAAGAGUACAACAUACUCUUUUCGAAAGGAUAACACGAAGAUCCAGCCUGACGUGGAAGAUCUGAAGAUCAGGAGAGCUCAGGAAUUUUCCUAUGAGGAGUUGGAACAAGCAACCGAUGGCUUCUCGGAGGAUUCACAAGUCGGCAAGGGCAGCUUUUCAUGUGUAUUCAGGGGCAUUCUGAGAGAUGGGACAGUCGUUGCUGUGAAGCGUGCAAUAAAAGUAUCGGAUGCGAAGAAAAGCUCAAAGGAGUUCCAUACUGAACUUGACCUCCUCUCUAGGCUCAACCAUGCACAUUUGCUCGACCUACUUGGUUACUGUGAGGAUGGCAGCGAGAGGCUCUUGGUUUAUGAGUUCAUGGCUCAUGGAUCCCUGUACCAGCAUCUGCAUGGCAAGGAUUCAAACUUGAAGAAGCAACUCAACUGGACCAGGCGGGUUACCAUUGCUGUCCAGGCUGCUCGUGGAAUAGAGUAUUUGCAUGGCUAUGCUUGCCCACCAGUAAUUCACCGAGACAUCAAGUCUUCAAACAUAUUGAUCGAUGAAGACCACAAUGCGCGUGUUGCCGACUUUGGUCUAUCUAUAAUGGGCCCUGUAGAUAGCGGCACACCACUCUCAGAGCUGCCGGCAGGGACACUUGGGUACCUUGACCCUGAGUACUACCGUCUCCACUACUUGACGACAAAGUCGGAUGUCUACAGCUUUGGAGUUGUUCUUCUAGAAAUCCUAAGUGGCAGGAAAGCCAUUGACAUGCAGCUUGAGGAGGGCAAUAUUGUUGAAUGGGCAGCCCCGUUGAUCAAAGCUGGGGACAUUUCUGGCAUCCUUGAUCCAGCUUUGUCUCCUCCCUCUGACCUGGAGGCUCUGAAGAAGAUUGCAGCUGUGGCAUGCAAGUGUGUGAGAAUGCGAGGCAAAGACCGGCCUUCCAUGGACAAGGUGACAACAUCUCUAGAGCGCGCACUUGCGCUGCUGAUGGGCAGCCCAUGCCUGGAGCAACCCAUUCUGCCAACUGAAGUUGUUCUCGGGAGUAGCCGGAUGCACAAAAAGGUAUCACAGAGGUCAUCUAAUCAGUCGUGCUCAGAGAAUGAGCUCGUUGAUGGGGACGACCAGCGGAUCGAGUACAGGGCACCAUCUUGGAUAACGUUUCCAAGCGUGACCUCAUCGCAGAGGAGGAAAUCGUCAGCGUCGGAAGCCGACCUGGAUGGCCGAACAACCACAGAUGGGAGGAACGUCGGGAGCAGCAUAGGAGAUGGUCUGCGGUCAUUGGAGGAAGAGAUUGGGCCGGCGUCGCCACAGGAAGACUUGUACUUGCAGCACAACUUCUGA
RNAcentral lists this ribosomal RNA (2703 nucleotides) under Triticum aestivum (bread wheat). RNAcentral describes it as "partial small subunit ribosomal RNA". The record is from RNAcentral. Lineage: Eukaryota; Viridiplantae; Streptophyta; Magnoliopsida; Poales; Poaceae.